This 627-nucleotide long non-coding RNA is filed under the name Physcomitrium patens. Its description in RNAcentral is "long non-coding RNA (PPAT_LNC013496)". The record is from RNAcentral. Lineage: Eukaryota; Viridiplantae; Streptophyta; Bryopsida; Funariales; Funariaceae.
UGAGUUAGUUAGGUUUUGGUUAGGGUUUGAUUUAGGAUUUAGGGUUGGAGUAGGGUUUAGGAUUUGGUUUAGAAGUUGCUUAGGAUUUAGGAUUGGACUAGGAUUUAGGAUUUGAUUUAGGAUUUAGGAUUUUCUUAAGAUUUAGAAUUUAGGAUUUGGUCUAGGAUUUGAUUGAAGUCUAUUAGGAUUUUAGUAUUUAUUCAUGUUUUAGUCAAAUAUGUAAUUGUGCCUUUUUCAUUUGUAUAGGCAAGAAAAAAAAUCAAAGAUAUGAAUGUUUAUUUGAGAUUUUUAGUAAAGAAGCCUAAGAAACUUUAGGAAGUGAGAGCUCAUGGAAUAGACAUGUCUAUAAAAAAAGAGGCAAACUAACCAUUUGUAAUACAUAUUGUGCUCAUGUGGACAAUACACAACUUUCUUGGCUAUGGAGUAGCUAGUAGUUUAUAGACUUAGGAAUUGUAUAGAUAUCCACCUUGCGGUCUUUAUAAAAUGAAUUUAUAUUCUUUUAAUUAUUUUAAGAAAACCAUAUACCAUGGUUAUAGGAAGUAUCUCCCAAAAUUGUAAGUUUAAUAAAAUGGAUGAGCUUAGCUAAGGGCUUUCAAAGCAAUGGAGGAUUAUAACUAGCUUUGCCAA